This 462-nucleotide ribosomal RNA is filed under the name uncultured bacterium. Its description in RNAcentral is "partial 16S ribosomal RNA". It matches the Rfam family "Bacterial small subunit ribosomal RNA", at positions 338 to 795 of the family's 1533-position model. The record is from RNAcentral.
CCUACGGGGGGCAGCAGUGAGGAAUAUUGGUCAAUGGGCGGAAGCCUGAACCAGCCAAGUCGCGUGAGGGAAUAAGGCCCUACGGGUCGUAAACCUCUUUUGCCGGGGAGCAAGGGCGGGGACGUGUCCCGGCCCGGAGAGUACCCGGAGAAAAAGCAUCGGCUAACUCCGUGCCAGCAGCCGCGGUAAUACGUAGGGAGCAAGCGUUGUUCGGAAUGACUGGGCGUAAAGGGUGCGUAGGCGGUUAUACAAGUUAGAAGUGAAAUACCCAGGGCUUAACUCGGGUGCUGCUUCUAAAACUGUAAGACUUGAGUGAAGUAGAGGUUAGUGGAAUUCCUAGUGUAGCGGUGGAAUGCGUAGAUAUUAGGAGGAACACCAGAGGCGAAGGCGGCUAACUGGACUGCAACUGACGCUGAGGCACGAAAGUGUGGGGAGCAAACAGGAUUAGAUACCCUUGUAGUC